This 429-nucleotide ribosomal RNA is filed under the name uncultured bacterium. RNAcentral describes it as "bacterial SSU rRNA". It matches the Rfam family "Bacterial small subunit ribosomal RNA", at positions 355 to 776 of the family's 1533-position model. The record is from RNAcentral.
UGGGGAAUAUUGCACAAUGGGGGAAACCCUGAUGCAGCCAUGCCGCGUGUGUGAAGAAGGCCUUCGGGUUGUAAAGCACUUUCAGCAGUGAGGAAGGUAGUGUAGUUAAUAACUGCAUUGCUUGACGUUAGCUGCAGAAGAAGCACCGGCUAACUCCGUGCCAGCAGCCGCGGUAAUACGGAGGGUGCGAGCGUUAAUCGGAAUUACUGGGCGUAAAGCGCAUGCAGGUGGUGGAUUAAGUCAGAUGUGAAAGCCCGGGGCUCAACCUCGGAAGGUCAUUUGAAACUGAUUCACUAGAGUACUGUAGAGGGGGGUAGAAUUUCAGGUGUAGCGGUGAAAUGCGUAGAGAUCUGAAGGAAUACCAGUGGCGAAGGCGGCCCCCUGGACAGAUACUGACACUCAGAUGCGAAAGCGUGGGGAGCAAACAGG